AAUUCUCUCAUUAUAUCAGUCUAUAAACAAGCCCCAUUCACACCAAUAACAAAUCAGUAGCCAAAAAUCAGAAUCAAAGCUUAAAAAGGUAUAAACCCUAGCUUGAUUUUUCUUAAACUUUUUGGUGUUAGAUGUUAUGUUUAAAUGUUAAAACAUGUUGAUUAUAGUGUCUAAGGAUGAUCUGGGUUGCUUGAUGUUGAUUCCAUAACAUUCAGAAGCUCGGAUUUGAAGAUCUUCAAAAUCUGGAAAUUUUAAUUUUUGUGUUCUGACAACGAAUGUCAGAGGCUGUAGAUCCCAUCCUGUUAAGCGUUUUUGAUGUUUAAAGCUUGCUAUGUGUAGCCUGGUAUGUUGUCUUUAUUCUGCAAAAGGAAAUCAUGGUCAUAUUUGUUGUAGAUUAGAAGAUAUUUAUGUCAAACUACCAUUGACCGAACUGCUCAAUAACAUUUCUGGGUUUUCCAGAAAUGUUCAAGAACAGUUGUUGAGGUCACCUUUGACCGGCCUCUUUCUGUUGGAUCUGGUGUUGUUAUAUGCCUUAUAUGUAAUAGAGUUGUAGUAUUACAUGUUAUCUACAACCUGGAAGCAAUAGAUCACUUAGAUCAAACUCAGAAUGAAAGAUAUAAAGAUCCAAAGUAGCCUGCACGAUCAGUUUUAAAAUUCUGGAAAACCCAGAAUUGGCAUGCAAGUUUUGUCAGAGAGUUUGAUGAUUUAUAUCUUUGGUAUUGUUAAUGUUUAGACUUGAAACUUGAUUUAAUCAUGUUCUCUGUAAGUUGUACUACAUAGCCCGACGUAUAAAACACCUAUAACAUGUACAGAUCGACCAGAAUAAGACCACUAAGGUCGUUGACCGGUGUUGACCAGAGUUUUCUGGGCAACCCAGAAACAUGAAGAACACGUCUGACAAGGUUUUCUAUUGAUCAUAUCUCACAGAUUUGUUGUUGUUUGGUCAUGAAAUGAGUAUAUAGUUGUAGUAUUACAUUAGUACUACAACAUUGAAGUUUUUGCAAGUCCAGAAAACAUUUAGAUCAUGGAUUUAAGGCUCGGUCAAACUAGCACCUUUGUGCACUGACAUGAAGCUCAAGAACACCUAUAGCGACGGUUCUGUCGCUAUAGAUGCCUUUAGCGACAGUUAUCAUUUUAUUUUCCGGAAAUUAAUUUAAAAAUUAGAAAAAUUAGUUUUUAAUUAUUAAAAAUACCAAAUAAAUUAUGAAAAAUUAUUUUAAAGUCUGAAAAAUAGUUUUUAAUUAUUUUGAGUAUAUUUCAUAAAUAUUUAAUAUUUUUGAAAUAUAAAAGGUAUUUAUUUAUUUAAUUAUAAUAUUAAAUAAAUGAUUUAAAAAUAGUUUUAAUUCAUGAAAAAUCAUGAAAAAUUAUUUUAUGGUAUAAGAAAAUAUUUUGAGUUAUUUUCCAUGACUUUUAAUAUUUUGUGAUGAAUUUCAUUAAUUAAUUAUAUAUUAAUGAUAUUAAAGUUAUUUAAUGAUUAUAUUAAAUAAUUUAGUUUAAAAAUGAUUUUAAUAUUAUAAAAAUCAUUUUAAAUGAAAUUAAGGUAUUUAAAAAUAUUUUAAGUUAUAAAAUAUAACUUUUAAUAUUUAAAGGAUAAUUUCAUUAAUAAUUUAAUAUUAAUGAUAUUAAGAUAAUAUUAAUGAUAUUUAGUUUAUUUAAUAAUUAUUAUUAAAUAAAUAGUUUAAAAAUGGUUUUAUUUAUUUAAAAAUCAUUUAAAGAGGAUAUUAAGGAUUUAAAAAUAUUUUAAGUUAUAAUUAAUGACUUUUAAUAUUUGGAUGAAUAGUACAUUAAUAUUUAUAUAUUAAUGGUGAUUAUUUAAAAAUGAUUUUAAUUGUUUUAAAAAUCAUUUAAGGGUAAUAUAAAUGUUUUAAAAAUAGUUUGAGUUAUUAUAAAUAACUUUUAUAUUUUGGCAAUGGUUUCAUUAAUAGUUUAAUAUAAAUUAAUUAUUAAUGAUAAUGGAAUUGUUUAAUGUUUAAAUCAUUUAAUUAUGAUUCCGAUGUUUGAAAGUUAUAGCCGGCCAAACUAGCUGACUUGAGAACCGAUUAUGAAGUUAUGAAGUUUUGAGGAACACCUAUAGUAACAGUUAUAUCACUAUAGGCCCGGUAGUGACAGAUUUGAAUUAUUUUAAAUUUUUCAAUUUCUGGAAAAUUCGAAAAUGAUUAAAAAUAAAAUGUUUGAUAUUUACAGAUGUUGAGGUAUAGGAUAAGAGUCUUAGACUCAGUAUUUACCCGAUAAAGCUGUCGGUACGCCGACAAAUGUCAGACCCUAUAAUAGAAAGAAAAGACUUCUGUAAGAGCAUGGAUGAGAUAUUUGAAAAAUGUAUAAAAAUAUUUCAAGUAUAGAAUAUGAACUAAAAGUAUGAUCACUGCGAUUAUGUGAUGACGUGAUUAGACUAUGUGCUGACUGUAAUAGACAGUACUAUGUGUUAUGAUAUAUUGUUCUAAUCGAACGAAUGAUCUGAUUAUUGAUAGGUUGUGAUAAAGAGAUAAAACCUAAGUUGAGAUUUGUAAUCAGCAAAUCAGGCAAGUAUCUUACCUUUGCAUUUCCUUUAUGCAAUGGACAUGAGUAAGAAGUUUCAGAAUUAUUCUAUUCCUGUACAG
This 2597-nucleotide long non-coding RNA is filed under the name Panax ginseng (ginseng). Its description in RNAcentral is "long non-coding RNA (PGIN_LNC003431)". The record is from RNAcentral. Lineage: Eukaryota; Viridiplantae; Streptophyta; Magnoliopsida; Apiales; Araliaceae.